RNAcentral lists this ribosomal RNA (467 nucleotides) under uncultured bacterium. Its description in RNAcentral is "partial 16S ribosomal RNA". It matches the Rfam family "Bacterial small subunit ribosomal RNA", at positions 28 to 506 of the family's 1533-position model. The record is from RNAcentral.
GACGAACGCUGGCGGCGUGCUUAACACAUGCAAGUCGAACGGAAAGGCCCUGCUUUUGUGGGGUGCUCGAGUGGCGAACGGGUGAGUAACACGUGAGUAACCUGCCCUUGACUUUGGGAUAACUUCAGGAAACUGGGGCUAAUACCGGAUAGGAGCUCCUGCUGCAUGGUGGGGGUUGGAAAGUUUCGGCGGUUGGGGAUGGACUCGCGGCUUAUCAGCUUGUUGGUGGGGUAGUGGCUUACCAAGGCUUUGACGGGUAGCCGGCCUGAGAGGGUGACCGGCCACAUUGGGACUGAGAUACGGCCCAGACUCCUACGGGAGGCAGCAGUGGGGAAUAUUGCACAAUGGGCGGAAGCCUGAGGCAGCAACGCCGCGUGCGGGAUGACGGCCUUCGGGUUGUAAACCGCUUUCGCCUGUGACGAAGCGUGAGGGACGGGAAUGGGUAAAGAAGCACCGGCUAACUACGU